Molecule: transfer RNA, 68 nt
Filed under: Urocitellus parryii (Arctic ground squirrel)
Lineage: Eukaryota; Metazoa; Chordata; Mammalia; Rodentia; Sciuridae
Also listed under: 2 other names
Description: Spermophilus parryii (Arctic ground squirrel) tRNA
Rfam family: tRNA
About the family: Transfer RNA (tRNA) molecules are approximately 80 nucleotides in length. Their secondary structure includes four short double-helical elements and three loops (D, anti-codon, and T loops).
Source: Rfam by way of RNAcentral
GGGGUUGUGGCUCAGUGGUAGAGCACUUGUCUUGCAUGUGUGAGGCGUGGGUUCGAUCCUCAGCACCA